UAAGAGGUCCAGCCUGCCCAGUGACUCUAGUUCAACGGCCGCGGUAUCCUGACCGUGCGAAGGUAGCGUAAUCACUUGUCUUUUAAAUUGAGACUAGUAUGAAAGGCACCACGAGAAUUAAACUGUCUCCUUUUUCUAAUCUGUGAAACUGAUCCCCCCGUGAAGAAGCGGGGAUUUUGAUAUAAGACGAGAAGACCCUAUGGAGCUUCAGACAAAUAACAAUGCCCUCCUUUUUUUCUAAAAAUACCCGAGCAUCUUAAUUAUUUAGUCUUAGGUUGGGGCGACCAUGGAGUAAAAACCACCCUCCAUGCUGAACAGGACCUCCUUAAAUAAGAGUAACAACUCUAAGAAUCAAUAAAUUGACACAUUUGACCCAAUUACUUGAUCAACGAAACAAGUUACCCUAGG
RNAcentral lists this ribosomal RNA (408 nucleotides) under Ischnocnema parva. RNAcentral's name for it is "partial 16S ribosomal RNA". It matches the Rfam family "Bacterial large subunit ribosomal RNA", at positions 1846 to 2472 of the family's 2925-position model. Lineage: Eukaryota; Metazoa; Chordata; Amphibia; Anura; Brachycephalidae. The record is from RNAcentral.